Molecule: ribosomal RNA, 124 nt
Filed under: Salvator merianae (Argentine black and white tegu)
Lineage: Eukaryota; Metazoa; Chordata; Lepidosauria; Squamata; Teiidae
Source: RNAcentral
GUCUGCAUUCCUCUGAAUAUGGAACCAUUUAGCUAGUCUUGGCAGAUUUCAAAAAAGCUAAGCAGGAAAAUGGCUAGCUAGUACUUGGGUGGGAGACCAUCAGCAAAACCUAGGAAUGUGAGCU